GGCGACGCGGCCAUAGUUAAGACCCACCUGUGAAGCAGAGGUGGCGGCAGCGGGGGCGGCGAGCCCAGCGACGGCAAGGAAGAGGGCAAGCAGAGAGGGGGCAGCCAAUGCCAUUGCCAGUAGCAGAACUCACAGGGCAAGGAAUUUGUAACGUCGAUCGAUGGAACUGGAAAGAGGAGAACAUGCUUUGUGCAUUUGUUCUGGGUGGGAGAACAGGCAGACUUGGAAGCUUCAGACUUUAUCUAUGGCAAUGGGACAAGAGUGGAGGACACCAUUCAUUCAAUUCAUGCAUCAAUAUGCCCAAAAGAUUAUUUGAGAAUGCUGAGAUCAUUAGUUCACAUCCAAGGUUUGAGAGGGAUUUGUAAUAAUUUUCAUAUUUUUUUUUCUAAGAUGGUAUGCAUUGAUUAAAUGCAUUGCAUUGUAUGAAAAGAGAUU
This is a long non-coding RNA of Zingiber officinale, 435 nucleotides long. RefSeq lists it as uncharacterized. The record is from RefSeq and is a predicted model, not a curated record. The transcript has 2 exons. NCBI's taxonomy places the organism in Eukaryota, Viridiplantae, Streptophyta, Magnoliopsida, Zingiberales, Zingiberaceae.